GAUGAACGCUGGCGGCGUGCCUAAUACAUGCAAGUCGAGCGAACGGACGAGAAGCUUGCUUUUCUGAUGUUAGCGGCGGACGGGUGAGUAACACGUGGAUAACCUACCUAUAAGACUGGGAUAACUUCGGGAAACCGGAGCUAAUACCGGAUAAUAUUUUGAACCGCAUGGUUCAAAAGUGAAAGACGGUCUUGCUGUCACUUAUAGAUGGAUCCGCGCUGCAUUAGCUAGUUGGUAAGGGAACGGCUUACCAAGGCAACGAUGCAUAGCCGACCUGGGAGGGUGAACGGCCACACUGGAACUGAGACACGGUCCCAACUCCUAAGGGAGGCAGCAGUAGGGAAUCUUCCGCAAUGGGCGAAAGCCUGACGGAGCAAAGACGCGUGAGUGCUGAAGGUCUUCGGAUCGUAAAACUCUGUUAUUAGGGAAGAACAUAUGUGUAAGUAACUGUGCACAUCUUGACGGUACCUAACCAGAAAGCCACGGCUAACUACGUG
This 497-nucleotide ribosomal RNA is filed under the name uncultured bacterium. Its description in RNAcentral is "partial 16S ribosomal RNA". It matches the Rfam family "Bacterial small subunit ribosomal RNA", at positions 28 to 507 of the family's 1533-position model. The record is from RNAcentral.